GUGCCAGCAGCCGCGGUAAUACGUAGGUGACAAGCGUUAUCCGGAAUUACUGGGCGUAAAGCGCACGCAGGCGGCGCAUUAAGUCUGACGUGAAAUCUCCUGGCUUAACUGGGAGGGGUCGUUGGAGACUGAUGUGCUUGAGGCGAUGAGAGGGGUGUAGAAUUCCCGGUGUAGUGGUGGAAUGCGUAGAUAUCGGGAGGAAUACCAGUGGCGAAAGCGACACCCUGGCAUUAGCCUGACGCUCAUGUGCGAAGGCGUGGGGAGCGAACGGGAUUAGAUACCCCUGUAGUCC
Molecule: ribosomal RNA, 292 nt
Filed under: uncultured bacterium
Lineage: Bacteria
Description: partial 16S ribosomal RNA
Rfam family: Bacterial small subunit ribosomal RNA
Source: RNAcentral